Molecule: ribosomal RNA, 253 nt
Filed under: uncultured bacterium
Lineage: Bacteria
Description: partial 16S ribosomal RNA
Rfam family: Bacterial small subunit ribosomal RNA
Source: RNAcentral
UACAGAGGCCUCAAGUGUUGUUCGGAAUUAUUGGGCGUAAAGAGUGAGUAGGCGGCAAGUCAAGUCAGCCACAAAAGUCAACCGCUCAACGGAUGAAGCGUGGCCGAAACUAGCAUGCUAGAGGUCUGAACAGGGUGCCAGAAUUCACAGUGUAGCAGUGAAAUGCGUAGAUAUUGUGAGGAAUACCAAUGGCGAAAGCAGGCACCCGGGAAGCGCCUGACGCUAAAUCACGAAGGCAAGGGUAGCGAACGGG